This 352-nucleotide long non-coding RNA is filed under the name Lathyrus oleraceus (garden pea). RNAcentral's name for it is "Pisum sativum (pea) long non-coding RNA (PSAT_LNC040336)". Lineage: Eukaryota; Viridiplantae; Streptophyta; Magnoliopsida; Fabales; Fabaceae. The record is from RNAcentral.
GUAUGAACACAACAAGUUCAUCACAGUGUACACAAACCCUAACCCCACAAAUAUAGAUUAUUUUCCCCCAAAUGCUAAAACUAUCUAAGAACUCACCUAGUAGAAGAAGAAGAUGAACUUGGUGAUGAUGAAGAUGAGAUGAUGGUGUUGAUGAACAUGCUCUUCAUGAGCUUUCCAUCUUCUUUCUCUUUUCUUCUUCUUCCUCUUUCUUCUUUCCUUCUCUUUCUCUUCUUUUCCCUUUCUGAUAACUCUUUCUCUCUUUCUUCUUAUCUCUUCCCACUACUUCUUAUUCUUUUCUUCUUUUCUUUUCCACCACACAAUACAUAUACUAUAUAAUAUAUAUAAUAUAUAA